UUGUAACUUAGUGGCGGACGGGUGAGUAACGCGUGGAUAACCUGCCGUGUACAGGGGGAUAACACUUAGAAAUAGGUGCUAAUACCGCAUAAGCGCACAACUUCGCAUGAAGGAGUGUGAAAAGCCGAGACGGUACACGAUGGGUCCGCGUCCGAUUAGCCAGUUGGCGGGGUAGAGGCCCACCAAAGCGACGAUCGGUAGCCGGCCUGAGAGGGUGACCGGCCACAUUGGGACUGAGACACGGCCCAAACUCCUACGGAAGGCAGCAG
RNAcentral lists this ribosomal RNA (269 nucleotides) under uncultured bacterium. Its description in RNAcentral is "partial 16S ribosomal RNA". It matches the Rfam family "Bacterial small subunit ribosomal RNA", at positions 85 to 354 of the family's 1533-position model. The record is from RNAcentral.